Molecule: RNA transcript, 2171 nt
Organism: Triticum dicoccoides
Lineage: Eukaryota; Viridiplantae; Streptophyta; Magnoliopsida; Poales; Poaceae
Gene name: chloroplast envelope membrane protein-like
Exons: 8
Source: RefSeq, a predicted model, not a curated record
UUCGCGGCGCCACCGUUACCCUUGAGUCGUGUUCCUCCCUUAUCCAUCCCAACCCAAAGAUAUAUGUGGACGCCACUCUGGAGCGCGUGUCCAAAUUAAUUCUCCCAGCAAGAGCAUCAUCCUCCCUGGUCACCGCAGCGCGGUCUGGGGCUAUACGAUUCUCUGGCUCCUGGUUGUUGCGAAUCGCAGAUUCUGCAAAGAAGAGGGUUGACUGUAUUCCGGCCUUCCGGGAGUUCGAAAAUUCUUGGUUUCUUGAUGUGGAUACUGCUACCUUGCAAUGACAACGGGUGGCAAGAAGGGAAUUCUCUGAGGCUGUGAGCACAUGGUUGCCAGAGGUGCGUCCGCCCCCGUUCUGUAGCCCGGAAGAUGUGGUCUCCGUUGCAUGACCUUUAAUGAGUUGCUACGUGGUCAGCUCUAGCGGCGUUGCGGUCUGGUUCGCCGUAGAGGAGAGGAUCGGGCACCGGAGGGUUUGCGCAUGCAAGAUGUUCGAUGUCGGUCCCCAGAGGAGGAGGGUGGGGAGGCGCCUGGUGGGUUUUGCCAAGAAGAGGAGGCGUUCCAAGAGGCAGCAGCCAUGGUGGAAGGCGUGGUUCUCUGAUUGGAACGAUGAGGAAGAGAGCCUCGCCGGCUGGAGGGAGGAUGAUGAAUUGCUCCAGCAGGUUGUUAGCAACGAAGACCUGUCGGAGGAUGACAAGUUUCAGACAUGGAAGAGCAAGGCCGAGGCGAUUGUCGACCUGCGGGAAGCCCAGCAGGAUGCCGAAAAUGCAGAAGGGCGGUCAUGGGAGGAUUGGAUAGGUUGGGGCAGCACAUCCGGCGAUGGUGACUGGGGCGGGGGUGGGAGCUUGUCGGACCAGAUAACUGAUGAUCCGACGGAGAUAGUGAGGGACAAGGGCAUCGCUGAAGCUUUUAGGGACUCUAUUGAUGAAGAUUACAACGACAUGUUGUUUGAGGACCGGGUUUUUCUAUACGCUUCGACGAAAUCGGCCAAAUUCCUAGCAUUGUUGAUCGUUGUUCCAUGGGUGUUGGAUCUUCUAGUACAUGACUAUGUUAUGAUGCCAUUUCUAGACAGGUAUGUCGAGAAGGUACCACUCGCCGCUGAAAUGCUUGAUGUAAGACGCAGCCAGAAGAUUCAGAUGAUAAAGGACCUAAAUAUUGAGAAAGCAAGAUUCCGUUUUGAAGUAGAGAUCGGUAAAUCUCCUCCACUUUCUGAUGAGGAGUUCUGGUCAGAGUUGCGGGAAAAAGCGGUAGAGCUGAGGGAUGAAUGGAGAUUAGAAAACCGACAAGCAUUUGCAAAUAUCUGGUCUGAUAUGGUUUAUGGGGUUGCCCUAUUCCUUCUUAUGUACUUUAACCAGAGUAAAGUUGCAAUGAUAAAGUUCACAGGAUAUAAGUUGCUAAACAAUAUCUCGGACAGUGGGAAGGCUUUUCUUAUCAUUUUAGUGUCAGAUAUCCUUCUAGGGUACCAUUCGGAGGCAGGUUGGCAUUCAUUGGUGGAAAUUAUUCUUGACCACUAUGGACUGGAAACAGAUCAAGCUGCAGUCACCUUUUUCGUUUGUCUGGUUCCAGUUGCCCUGGACGUAUUUAUAAAGUUUUGGGUGUACAAAUACCUUCCAAGACUAUCACCUAGUGUGGGAAACAUCUUGGAUGAAAUAAGGCGUCACUAGGAAUUCUUUCCAUCAGGAAUUUUGGUUCCUUCCUUUAGGAAAUUGCUAGUAGAAUUUCACAAUCCAGUUUUCUCCGUGCUCAUCAUCUAUGAAUCCAUCUCCAAUUGUGAAGAUUGGGCUACCCAAUGACUUGCCCCGUUCAAAGGGCCUCAGGACUACAAGGAGUCUGAAGCAUGCACGAACAAGGACACCAAGAUGGAAAUGACAGAGGCAACCAACCAAGGAACCGAUAAUAAGCGGCGGGGCCAACCAAAGAAGCAAGGCAUUUUCGAUCGGAACCACAAGCACCCGCAAUCUUAGCAUCCGUUCGAUUAGCAUAUUAGACACGAUUUAGACACCCAUCUAGUAUCCUUGAAAAAAAAGACACCCAUCUAGACUGUCGACCCCCAACUUGACGAAUACCUUUUGUGCUCCAUCAUUAUAAAUCCUUCGUGAAAUGAUUCCAGACAAGCAUGAUUAGAGUUGCUACUCACCACACGAGGGCCUGGAUCUGAGUAAAAUAUGUGCCCCAUG